GAAACGACUGCUAAGACUGGAUAGGAGACAAGAAGGCAUCCUCUUGUUUUUAAAAGACCUAGCAAUAGGUAUGCUUAGGGAGGAGCUUGCGUCACAUUAGUUAGUUGGUGGGGUAAAGGCCUACCAAGACUAUGAUGUGUAGCCGGGCUGAGAGGUUGAACGGCCACAUUGGGACUGAGACACGGCCCAAACUCCUACGGGAGGCAGCAGUAGGGAAUUUUCGGCAAUGGAGGAAACUCUGACCGAGCAACGCCGCGUGAACGAUGAAGUAUUUCGGUACGUAAAGUUCUUUUAUUAGGGAAGAAUAAAUGAUGGAAAAAUCAUUCUGACGGUACCUAAUGAAUAAGCCCCGGCUAACUAUGUGCCAGCAGCCGCGGUAAUACAUAGGGGGCAAGCGUUAUCCGGAAUUAUUGGGCGUAAAGGGUGCGUAGGCGGUUAAAUAAGUUUAUGGUCUAAGUGCAAUGCUCAACAUUGUGAUGCUAUAAAAACUGUUUAGCUAGAGUAAGAUAGAGGCAAGUGGAAUUCCAGGUGUAGUGGUAAAAUGCGUAAAUAUAUGGAGGAACACCAGUAGCGAAGGCGGCUUGCUGGGUCUUUACUGACGCUGAGGCACGAAAGCGUGGGGAGCAAACAGGAUUAGAUACCCUGGUAGUCCACGCCGUAAACGAUGAGUACUAAACGUUGGGUAAAACCAGUGUUGAAGUUAACACAUUAAGUACUCCGCCUGAGUAGUACGUACGCAAGUAUGAAACUUAAAGGAAUUGACGGGACUCCGCACAAGCGGUGGAUCAUGUUGUUUAAUUCGAAGGUACCCGAAAAACCUCACCAGGUCUUGACAUGCUUCUGCAAAGCUGUAGAAACACAGUGGAGGUUAUCAGUUGCGCAGGUGGUGCAUGGUUGUCGUCAGCUCGUGUCGUGAGAUGUUGGGUUAAGUCCCGCAACGAGCGCAACCCUUAUUGUUAGUUACCAGCACGUAAUGGUGGGGACUUUAGCAAGACUGCCAGUGAUAAAUUGGAGGAAGGUGGGGACGACGUCAAAUCAUCAUGCCCCUUAUGACCUGGGCUACAAACGUGAUACAAUGGCUGUUACAAAGGGUAGCUGAAGCGCAAGUUUUUGGCGAAUCUCAAAAAAACAGUCUCAGUUCGGAUUGAAGUCUGCAACUCGACUUCAUGAAGUUGGAAUCGCUAGUAAUCGCGAAUCAGCAUGUCGCGGUGAAUACGUUCACGGGGUUUGUACACACCGCCCGUCA
This 1246-nucleotide ribosomal RNA is filed under the name Phytoplasma sp. Its description in RNAcentral is "bacterial SSU rRNA". It matches the Rfam family "Bacterial small subunit ribosomal RNA", at positions 153 to 1399 of the family's 1533-position model. The record is from RNAcentral. Lineage: Bacteria; Bacillati; Mycoplasmatota; Mollicutes; Acholeplasmatales; Acholeplasmataceae.